GAAAUGCGAUAAGUAAUGUGAAUUGCAGAAUUCAGUGAAUCAUCGAAUCUUUGAACGCACAGUGCGCCCGCCAGUAUUCUGGCGGGCAUGCCUGUUCGAGCGUCAUUACAACCCUCAGGCCCCCGGGCCUGGCGUUGGGGAUCGGCGGAAGCCCCCUGCGGGCACAACGCCGUCCCCCAAAUACAGUGGCGGUCCCGCCGCAGCUUCCAUUGCGUAGUAGCUAACACCUCGCAACUGGAGAGCGGCGCGGCCACGCCGUAAAACACCCAACUUCUGAAUGUUGACCUCGAAUCAGGUAGGAAUACCCGCUGAACUUAAGC
RNAcentral lists this unclassified non-coding RNA (320 nucleotides) under plant metagenome. RNAcentral describes it as "partial contains 5.8S ribosomal RNA, internal transcribed spacer 2, and large subunit ribosomal RNA". The stretch from base 1 to 105 matches the Rfam family "5.8S ribosomal RNA", at positions 50 to 154 of the family's 154-position model. The record is from RNAcentral.